Caretta caretta (loggerhead turtle) is the source of this 2636-nucleotide long non-coding RNA. RefSeq lists it as uncharacterized. Lineage: Eukaryota; Metazoa; Chordata; Testudines; Cheloniidae. The record is from RefSeq and is a predicted model, not a curated record.
AGCAACCAGUUCCUAUAAAGGCAGAUGAGGGGAAGGGCCAGGGGCUCUUGAGUCUUUAGGGGCUCAGGUGUCCAACACUCUCUCUGUGGUGUGAUACAGCCUUUCACACUGGCUACUGGCUUUCAGUAGCCACUCACUAAACAGAACUGUCAUUUUGGGGUGUGUUAUUUUCUUUUGGGAAACAGACCUGCAUGUGCAGACUCGGUCCGAUUAGUUAGUUCAGACUUACAACCAUAGAUGAUGCAGUGAGGGAUAGGGGGGGUCUGAGAUAGGAUUACAUACCUGUCUUCUACACCUGUGAUCCACUGUUGGUGUCCAUCGCUGACCCAUACUCUGCAGCCUCUCCAGCAGCAGCACCUGAAGAAGACGCCAUAGCAAGCAUGGAGACUGAAGACUAGAGACUCCAAGAGAAGAGACUGGCCCAGGGUUCAAGGAUGAAAUCUGUGUACUAUGAACUGCAAUAUCCAGUGGGCACUGGGCAGAAAAUUUCCUUUUUCCCUUGGGGUAAUAUUGCCAGCAUCACAAAAGCAAACUAGUUUUCACUGGAUUUGUCACAGAAAACUACAGUAAGCAUCCGGGAAUCAUUGCUUUGUGUCACGGCCGAGUUAAAGCUGGAGGUCAAAGUUGGAAACUGAAACCCAGUAUGUACUACAUCAGCUGAAUAAUGGUAUUCCAUGAUCACUAGAUCUCAUUAUGCCAAGAAGAGGAUUUUGGCAGCUGAUAAAAAGAAGUCUGAAUAAAACUCAUUUAACUAAAUGUGAAGAAAGCUGUGCUGAAGCCAAGGUAAAGGGACAUGGUCAACUUAAAAAAAAAAUCCUGUGUUAUUUUUUUUUAAACUUGGUAUUGAUUCAAGCAACACUUAAGAUUAUUAUAAAUGAAACUUUAGAAAAAAAUAUUUGGUUCUUCCAGUUUGCAAAAUUUGAACAUUUUAUAAUAUUUUGACCAGGUUUUCAAAAUUUGCCACCUAAAUUUAGACUCUAAAUCCUGAUUCAGCCUCCCAAAUACAUGUGCUUAUUUUCGAAAGUGUUGAGUACACAAUUAGGCUAAAUCAAAAUGUAAACUGGUUUAUUAAGAAUGUCUUCAUUAGAGAGUUACACCCUGAAACUUAGUCUAAUUUUAAAUUGGUCUUUUUACACCAUGCAACUUUUCUAAUGCUUUAGGCCUGUCCUAAUUAUUGCCACAUUCAAAAAUCUCUCCUGUUGAAGCUGUUCUGCUGUGUAUUAUAAAAGUAAUUAAAAAAUCAUUAGAUCAGGAGCUUGGUCUCCCACCUCCCAGAGAGGUACCCUAACUACUAUGCUAUAGAGUCAGUCUCAUGCCUACGCUCUCUCGCUCUCUCUCUGGCCCAUUGACUAUUUAAAUAUUUCUAUACAGUGGAACUUCAACAGGAGAGAUUGAGGGAGACCCAUAUCAGAAUAUCCUAUAGCCCAGUGAUUAAGGCACUCUCAGGAGAGGUGGAAGACCCCUAUUCAAAUUCUUUUUCCCCCCUCAGCCAGAGAGAAGAAUUUAACUGAAGUCUCCCACAUACUGAGUGAAUGCUCUAACCACUGGGUUAAAAGUUAUCAAAUGGGCACCACCAUCUCCUUCCCCAGCCAGAUUUUGAAUUGGAUCCAAUCUGGUAGGUGAUAGUUGAGCACACCUACCGUAUUGGCCACCCAAUGAAAUUAGGUUUAAAAAAAAACAUAAGGAAGUACUUCUUCACACAAUGCACAGUCAACCAGUAGCAUUUCAUUGCCAGGGGAUAUUGUGAAGACCAAAAGUGUAACUGGGUUCAAAAAAAGAAUGAGAUAAGUUCAUGGAGGAUAUGUCCAUCAAUGGCUAUUAGCCAAGAUGGUCAGGGAUUAAGCAAUUUGAUGCAUCUCUGCUAUUUUUGAACAUUUCAUAUUUCUUGGGUCUCUAAAAAUGGCUGAAAAUGUGAACACAGGUAUUUUUGGGGGAUUGCAAUACUGUGGAGCUGGUGAGACAGAUCCUCCCUCAGAUCCCUUUCCCCUUCCUGUCUCCCCCAUUUCCCCUCCCUCCCACCUCAACUACUCUGAGGGGGAGUGCUACCCCACAACAAGGACACAGAAUUAAUUCUGACUCUGCGAUGGUUGGAUCUAGUGAGCAGAUGACAGGGGUGGGGUGGAGAACACUGGCCUGGGAAGAUUGGAAGAAGAGACGAAAGAAGCAGUAGGGCAAGAGGCUGGAGCCCUAAGCUACAGCAGAGUGAGAAGGUCACUGGACCCAGGAAAGGGGCACUCGAGUAUGGCCCUGAGUCAGGGUGAAAAAAAGUGGGGCAGAGAGUCUGUGUGUGUCUAGUCAGGUGCGGAGUGAGUGGGAGGCAGGCUGUUUUGUUGUAUGCUGUGCCAGGACAAGGGAGUCUGUGUAACCCCUGCUAAAGAUUCUGACUUGUGUCUGCUCCUGGCAUUUAGAGAUUUGUGACCCAAUUGCAUUCACAGCCUUUUCCUUAAAGUUCUCAAAAUCCAUAUUGGGGUUUUGGACCCAAAGGGAGUUCGGAGCCUGCACAGCAACCAGGUCCCUUCUGACAAUCAUUGCACCAAGUCCUGUUCUAGCUCCUGGAUCAGGAAGGGUCUCAUUUUUUUGGUGAUGCAGAGGAUCACUUAGAAGUUAUUGGAAAAGUUUCUGAGGGUCUUGGUCAU